Molecule: ribosomal RNA, 346 nt
Filed under: Klebsiella pneumoniae
Lineage: Bacteria; Pseudomonadati; Pseudomonadota; Gammaproteobacteria; Enterobacterales; Enterobacteriaceae
Description: partial 23S ribosomal RNA
Rfam family: Bacterial large subunit ribosomal RNA
Source: RNAcentral
UGUUUCGGCUAGGGGGUCAUCCCGACUUACCAACCCGAUGCAAACUACGAAUACCGAAGAAUGUUAUCACGGGAGACACACGGCGGGUGCUAACGUCCGUCGUGAAGAGGGAAACAACCCAGACCGCCAGCUAAGGUCCCAAAGUCAUGGUUAAGUGGGAAACGAUGUGGGAAGGCACAGACAGCCAGGAUGUUGGCUUAGAAGCAGCCAUCAUUUAAAGAAAGCGUAAUAGCUCACUGGUCGAGUCGGCCUGCGCGGAAGAUGUAACGGGGCUAAACCAUGCACCGAAGCUGCGGCAGCGACACUAUGUGUUGUUGGGUAGGGGAGCGUUCUGUAAGCCUGCGAA